GUGCCAGCAGCCGCGGUAAUACGUAGGUGGCAAGCGUUAUCCGGAAUUACUGGGCGUAAAGCGCACGCAGGCGGCUCUUUAAGUUUGACGUGAAAGCUCCCGGCUUAACUGGGAGAGGUCGUUGAAGACUGGGGAGCUUGAGGCAAUGAGAGGGGUGUAGAAUUCCCGGUGUAGUGGUGGAAUGCGUAGAUAUCGGGGGGAAUACCAGUGGCGAAAGCGGCACCCUAGCAUUAGCCUGACGCUCAUGUGCGAAAGCGUGGGGAGCGAACGGGAUUAGAAACCCUCGUAGUCC
RNAcentral lists this ribosomal RNA (292 nucleotides) under uncultured bacterium. Its description in RNAcentral is "partial 16S ribosomal RNA". It matches the Rfam family "Bacterial small subunit ribosomal RNA", at positions 505 to 796 of the family's 1533-position model. The record is from RNAcentral.